UCUGUCAGCAGGGGCCCGUCUCUCUAGUCAUUGACUAGAGUCGGGCCCGCAUCAGAAACCCACACCUGAAACCAAUUCCUCUCUGAGGACCCGGGACCCACGCUGGAAUUUGUGGCUCUGUUCCACCUCUAAACUUGCCCGACAGCUCUCUUCCCACGGAAUGCCCCUCGAGCUGAAGGGGAGAGGCAGCGAUUUGCUGUUCCCUUCCGUUAUCUCACAACCUCUGAAACCGCAGCAGCCUGGGUUCCAGGCCCGUGCGCAUCACAGCUUCCUUUCCAGUCAGCUCGCUUCUCCGAUGUACCAUUCAGCUGGAAAUUCAUUCCAAUUUUAAACGUCCAGCUUUGUUGUCCUGGUUUGAUUUAGAAAAUCCGCUUUGCAGCAUUUUCCUGAGGGAAACGUUGGGGUAACAUACCGGAGGGAUCUUGCCCAGCUCACCGAGAGGUGCACCACCUCCCAUAUCGACCUGAUGCCCAGAGAGCCUCGAGAGAGCUUCGCGUCCUGGUCCCAGACCCAGAGAAAGACCACAAGUGAUCCAGGAUCUACAACACAAGCCAUUGGAUCCACAACCUGGUGACUUGGAUUCCAGGAGACCCAGGAAAAAUCCAAAAUGUUCACAGGGGGAAAUGAGAACGUUAGGACACAAAGAUAUUUUCAGGUUUCCAAGGAUGAAUGGAAGUUCUGACUGGCUUUCGAUCCAAGGUGAGAGUGAAAACACUCAGGAAGUCUUUAGAAAGCUGUUUAGAAAGUUCCUUCCAGACAUAGUUUAGCUUAUUCUGUUACCCUCCCGAGAUGUGUAAACAUCUUGAUUUCGCAAUAUUUAAUUAUUUACAUGCAAUAUGGAUAAACUCAUUAGCGUGAUGUUUCCCUAAAUAUGCUUUUUGAAAGCUCUCUGUGUUUCUUACAGACAUAAAAAAAGAGAAAACGGGAAUUAUCACAUUAUGUAUUACAGCCAUUUUGUUGUGGAAAUGGAGCAUGAAGUAAACAAUUUAG
Non-coding RNA from Pelodiscus sinensis (Chinese soft-shelled turtle), 990 nucleotides. Lineage: Eukaryota; Metazoa; Chordata; Testudines; Trionychidae. The record is from RefSeq and is a predicted model, not a curated record.